RNAcentral lists this unclassified non-coding RNA (1794 nucleotides) under Octopus sinensis (East Asian common octopus). RNAcentral describes it as "shootin-1-like, transcript variant X4". Lineage: Eukaryota; Metazoa; Mollusca; Cephalopoda; Octopoda; Octopodidae. The record is from RNAcentral.
UUCUCUGUACCCACCACAGCCGUCACCGCCACUACUACUACUUCUACACCUACCAUCUCCACCACUACCAUCACCACCUCUACCACUAGUGCUACUACUGCUACUAUCGUUGGCAUAUCUGUCAUGGCCUCAACAACAUCAACAAUGCACGGCCGAGAUGUAGUGACGAUGGUACAGACUCAUGUUGAUGAUGACAAUGAUAAUAUUGAUUGGUGCGGCUUGUACAAGGAUACCCAGGCGAAAUACCUCACCCUCAAGGGACUCUCUGCUAAAGUUGCUGAUACAUACGAGGAUGUAUUUGUCAAGUACCGAGCAUGUCAAGAGGAUAGAGGAAAACUUAUCCGAGCGAAAACUUCACUUGAAGAUAAGUUCGAAGAUCUCACUAAAUUAUUGGAACCAGUGUGGAAGGAAUACCAAUUUCUGAAAGCCAAAUAUCAAAUUGAAUCAGAUUGUCGACAAGAAGCUGAAAAAUAUGCAUCUAAAGUGACCAAAGAAAACAAAGAAUUGCGUCGGAAGAGCCAGGAUUUGCUGUCUAAACUAGAUUUAAAUGCAGACCUUCGUGUGUUUGAAAUUGAUAUAGAGAAGGAAGAUGGUGGUCAACAGAAUGAGGAAUCAGAGGAGAGGAUCCAUUACCAGAAUCAACUGGAAGAUCUACAGAAUAAAGUGGCUGAAAUGAAGUUAAAGAAUGCUGAACUCCAAGAGGAACAGAACAACCGAGAAGAGGAGAAUCGAGAAACCAAAGAGAGGUUAGUUACUGUUGAAAAAGACAACAAAGAAAUGAAAGAAGCGCUGAAACAAUACAGAGAGACUUUGGAAGAAUUCCGAAGAGUUUAUGAAAGUUCCUAUGAAGAAUAUGAAGACAUACGCAAAAAAUACAAUGAAGAACGACAGUGUCGUAAUGAAGCAGAACAAUAUGCGAAGAAGUUGCACCAUGAGACAGAGGUGAUAAAGAGACAAAGUAGAAUCUUACUGUGUCAAGAUUUUGGUGAUGAACGUCUACAGAAGGCCUUGGAUGACAUUGAGCUGUUGAACCGAGAACUUCUGGAGCUGAAGGAUGAAACAGAGAAAGAGGUCACCAGUUUAAAGGCAGAAAUAGAGUUGUACAAAUCAAGCGAAGGCAACAUUAAAAUAAUCAAGAAGAACAAGGAACUGGAAGAACAGAACAACAGUUUGGAAAACAAUUUGGUCCAGCAGCGGGAGCAGUAUGAGAGUCUUAGUAAGAAAUAUAGCGAUCUGGAAAAAAUCUAUGAGGACAGCAAACGGCCACCUCCGCCGCCACCACCACCGCCUCCACCACCACUACCACCUCAGAACUCCAAGGGGUUCCUGGCAAGAUGGAAGAAAAAGAAAGCUCGAGUGUCAAAGACUGAAGAAGAAAAUACUACCACAGUCAAAGAAGAUCUCCACAAGAAAGCUCUUGAAGAAAUGAUGAGUCGCAUCAGAGAUGGAAGAGGUCUGACUGGAGCAAAGAUGAGACGGCCAUCUUGCCAAGAUAAACCAAAGGACGAAGCUAUUGAUGAAUUAAAGAAUUUAAUGACCAAGAUGAAACGUACCAAAAGUGACGGUAACUUGUUGGUGAAGAGUACGGCCUCUCAGGAAUUAAACGAACUGACCGCUGUGUUUCGGAAAAUACGUAUGAAAAGUACAAACUCAUUAGAGAAGAAUGAAGAGACAUCAGAACAGAAUUCAGUCUCAAACGAUUGAAAACUUAAUGAUAAAACUGAAAAAAUCUUCAUAAACAGCAUAUCACUGGGGAUGAUGAUGAUGAGGAUGACAAUGAUGAUGAUGAUGAUG